GAGCCUGUUAGCUGUACAGUUACACGAUGACAUAGUGUCAUACCCUGGGUUGUUCAGAACAGAAUGAACCUGUUAGCUGUACAGUUACAAGAUGACAUAGUGUCAUACCCUGGGUUGUUCCGAACACAAUGAGACUGUUAGAGGUACAGUUACAAGAUGACAUGCUGUCAUACCCUGUGUUGUUCUGAACACAAUGAGCCUGUUAGAGGUACAGUUACAAGAUGACAUGCUGUUAUACCCUGGGUUGUUCUGAACACAAUGAGCCUGUUAGAGGUACAGUUACAAGAUGACAUGCUGUCAUACCCUGGGUUGUACAGAACACAAUGAGCCUGUUAGAGGUACAGUUACAAGAUGACAUGCUGUCAUACCCUG
Long non-coding RNA from Oncorhynchus tshawytscha (Chinook salmon), 372 nucleotides. Lineage: Eukaryota; Metazoa; Chordata; Actinopteri; Salmoniformes; Salmonidae. The record is from Ensembl.